RNAcentral lists this long non-coding RNA (1102 nucleotides) under Homo sapiens (human). RNAcentral describes it as "non-protein coding LINC01197:1". Lineage: Eukaryota; Metazoa; Chordata; Mammalia; Primates; Hominidae. The record is from RNAcentral.
AUGGGUUUAAUAUUGCCCGAGAUAAGGGGAUGCAACUGUUCAGGUCUGAUUUCCUGUUGUUUCUCAGAUACUGAUAGGGCAUCAUUCACAUACAUGACAAAUAAGACUUCUGAACUGUUUGCCAUUUGGGAAGGGGAGGCUCGCGGGUUGUUCCCUGGCGAAAUGAUUUGUGAAACAUCAGUCCGAAAUUAUUCGGGGGUUCUUCGCCCUCCACUUUCCCAUAGCGCGUUUUCCUUUCUCCCACAGAGAUAUAAUAGAAACUAAUCUUCAAAAUCCAAACAUUCCAAGCCCCAUCCUUUUGUGCAGGCAUCUCGCUGUCUGCGCUGGGCACGGAGCGGCGCGCGCGCGCCCGUCUUUCCCUCGGCGGCCCCCGCGGCUCGGACCCGGGCCGGCAGACAGGCCAUCCAUCAUCCGCCCUCCUCCCGCGGAGCGCCGCAGCCGCCGCGGCCAAUCCGGCGGCAGGUGGGGCCGCACCUGCGCGACAGCCCGCCGCUUCCCUCCGCUCCCUUCGCCGCGCCUCGCGUGCUAGCGGUGCCCUUGUGAGCCACUGCGUUCUCCAAGGCCAGAACGGGACAGAUGGAGAAAUUGAGAUGAGAGCUCAUCCACAAGAUUACCCAUCAAUGAGCACCAAUAGCAACCAAAUCCACUAGAAGACUGGGAGCUUUUAAGUCAAGAAACUUACAUCAGUAUCAUCAUUCCAAGAAGCGGUAUCCAAGCUGUUUUAUCGAAAGUGCGCAUGGGAGAUAAGACUCUGAGAAUUUAUAGAAACAAACAUUAGAAGGCAGGAAUGUGGAGAGAAGAAAGCUACCUGACAAGGGAAUCUCAGGAUACAAGGAAAACACCAAGGAAUGUAAAUCUCUGUUUACCACAAGCCCUCUGUCUCCACAAGUUCUGUGUCCAGAACUGAAGGCAGAUCCAAAUACAAUAUUCAUGGGAUGCAAAUUCCCAUGUAUGCCAAGAGAUAACUGCUUUAUUGGAGGCCUAGUGGGGAACUGAAACUCCCACUCCUGCUUAGCAGGAAUGAGAAGCCCCCUUUCAGAGGUCAACAGAAGCUGAGUUAAGAAACCUGAACUUUUACCCUACCUGGCAGUAAUGAAGCGAC